AAAGAUAUAUUUCAACUAUCAACUAAAUGCAUAUACGAGGUUGGCACUGCUUUAUACGAGGCUGGACAAUCAAUGCAAUACCGUGACAAUCCGGGGGGCAUGCAUCAAAAGGUAGAGGGAUGAACAGCAGAGAAACAAAGCAGGGAGUACGUGACACUUGGGAUAUUACCAUGGACACUUAAAGGGCAGCAAGCAGCAGGACAAAGUUGUUGUGACUUAGUAGUGUGUGACGUACGGAUUUUUC
This 244-nucleotide long non-coding RNA is filed under the name Setaria italica (foxtail millet). RNAcentral's name for it is "long non-coding RNA (SITA_LNC001874)". Lineage: Eukaryota; Viridiplantae; Streptophyta; Magnoliopsida; Poales; Poaceae. The record is from RNAcentral.